UGUUCUUGAUGAAAGUAACUUCCGUCAUAAACGAAAGUAUGGACGAGGGAGAGCAUCAACAACAUGGAGGCGAAAAAAAUGGGUCUUUGGCAUGCUAGGUGUGAGGGAUAAAUGCAGACACCCAAUCUUGCGGCUUGUGAAAAGAAGAUCAAGACCUCACCUAAUCCCCAUAGUUGUAAAACAUGUGCGUCCAGGCACUACCAUUAUUUCAGAUGAGUGGAGAGCCUACCGGGGGGCUUUGGCCAAUAUGGGCUACAAACAUUUUACAGUGAACCAUUCCCAGUGGUUUGUAGACCCACACAGUGGAGCUCAUUCACAACACCUUGAAAGAGCUUGGUUGACAUACAAAACAAGUGUAUGGAGACUAAGGGGGAACAGGACAGAGAAAAUGCUAAAAGAGCACCUCUCUCUCAUAGAGUGGACUCAUUGGCUUGGUGAAAAAAAUAAACGGGGGCCACUUGGGCGCCUAAUAAAAGAUAUUCACCAUCAAUUUCCUGUUUAGAGGACAACACACUGAACUUUUGAUUGUGUUUUAUGUAAUAUUUAAGUAAAAUACAAGUUAACUUGUCCUCUUGAUUUAAGGUGCACUGAUAUUUAAAAGCUUUGUUUAAUAAAAUGUGUAUUUUACCUUUUUAA
Carassius auratus (goldfish) is the source of this 636-nucleotide long non-coding RNA. RefSeq lists it as uncharacterized. The record is from RefSeq and is a predicted model, not a curated record. The transcript is spliced from 2 exons. NCBI's taxonomy places the organism in Eukaryota, Metazoa, Chordata, Actinopteri, Cypriniformes, Cyprinidae.